UGGGGAAUAUUGGACAAUGGGCGCAAGCCUGAUCCAGCCAUGCCGCGUGAGUGAUGAAGGCCCUAGGGUUGUAAAGCUCUUUCACCGGUGAAGAUAAUGACGGUAACCGGAGAAGAAGCCCCGGCUAACUUCGUGCCAGCAGCCGCGGUAAUACGAAGGGGGCUAGCGUUGUUCGGAUUUACUGGGCGUAAAGCGCACGUAGGCGGACUAUUAAGUCAGGGGUGAAAUCCCGGGGCUCAACCCCGGAACUGCCUUUGAUACUGGUAGUCUUGAGUUCGAGAGAGGUGGGUGGAAUUCCGGGUGUAGAGGUGAAAUUCGUAGAUAUUCGGGGGAACACCAGUGGCGAAGGCGGCUCACUGGCUCGAUACUGACGCUGAGGUGCGAAAGCGUGGGGAGCAAACAGG
This 404-nucleotide ribosomal RNA is filed under the name Actinomycetes bacterium. RNAcentral's name for it is "Actinobacteria bacterium partial 16S ribosomal RNA". It matches the Rfam family "Bacterial small subunit ribosomal RNA", at positions 355 to 776 of the family's 1533-position model. Lineage: Bacteria; Bacillati; Actinomycetota; Actinomycetes. The record is from RNAcentral.